UCCUAAUUCACGAUCGGGCAAUCUCUAUGACUCAAUUCAAAAACAAGGUGAGGGCGUAUCAAGUUGGUAUCAGAGCUAGUUGAAUUAGAGUAAGAAUCGUUGUAAUCGGUAUUACGAGAUUGUAAAAAAAAUAAAAAAAUCGAAAAAAAAUCAAAAAAAAUCUUAUUAUUAUUUUGUGUUCAAAGCUUUCUAUUGUAUUUGGCAAAGUGUAAAAAAAAAGAAGAAAAAAAUAUUCGGAAUAAAAAAAACGAUUGAAAUUCAUUUUGAGUUUACAAAAGCCUAGCUUGCUGCCCGAAGAACCACAUCUAUACAGCC
RNAcentral lists this long non-coding RNA (315 nucleotides) under Gossypium raimondii (Peruvian cotton). RNAcentral's name for it is "long non-coding RNA (GRAI_LNC000581)". Lineage: Eukaryota; Viridiplantae; Streptophyta; Magnoliopsida; Malvales; Malvaceae. The record is from RNAcentral.